CAGCAGCCGCGGUAAUACGUAGGUCCCGAGCGUUGUCCGGAUUUAUUGGGCGUAAAGCGAGCGCAGGCGGUUAGAAAAGUCUGAAGUGAAAGGCAGUGGCUCAACCAUUGUAGGCUUUGGAAACUGUUUAACUUGAGUGCAGAAGGGGAGAGUGGAAUUCCAUGUGUAGCGGUGAAAUGCGUAGAUAUAUGGAGGAACACCGGUGGCGAAAGCGGCUCUUUGGUCUGUAACUGACGCUGAGGCUCGAAAGCGUGGGGAGCGAACAGGAUUAGAUACCCCAGUAGUCCCUGUCUCUUAUACA
RNAcentral lists this ribosomal RNA (301 nucleotides) under uncultured bacterium. Its description in RNAcentral is "partial 16S ribosomal RNA". It matches the Rfam family "Bacterial small subunit ribosomal RNA", at positions 509 to 808 of the family's 1533-position model. The record is from RNAcentral.